UGUUGAGAUGCAUGGUGAGUGAGGUUUGGGGGAAGUUGUGCAUGAGGUGAGCUAGGUUCUGCCUAACUAGAGAACCCAGCUUCGGCCGCCGAAGAAGGGUUCGGCCGCCGAACGUGGUGAGGAGGUGGUUUCGGCUGCCUCAACCUGCCCCCGAAGGAUUGGACUUUCGUCUCUGGAGGGGAGGUUCGGCCGCCGAAGGUGCCGCCGAAGGUGGAGACUUUCGUCUCUGGAGUAUGUUUUGGCCCCCGAACCUUGCCCCCGAAGGCUUCGACAUCCGAAAGAGGAGCUUCGGCCGCCGAAAGUAGGCGAGUUUCGUCUCUGGAGAGGACAUUCGGCCGCCGAACCUGCCGCCGAACGUGUCCUGCCCAGCCUUCUUUUGCAUGCUUUGCAUGAUUGUUCUAGGAUCUUUUAGGGGGUUUUUGGGAAGGUGUUUAAGAGUUGUUUUAGAGUUAUGUGAGCAUUGUUUGGCACCUCAUGUACGUCCACCUGUGUAGGCUCGGACCUGAGGCGAGGUGUUUAGCUCCAGUGUGAGAGUUGGCCCAGAGUUAGUCACAGCUUGGCUUCAGGUGAGUAGACCUAACUAUGCAUGUUUUCAAGUUAAUGAUUACAGCGCAUGACAGUAUGAGCAUGAGACACGCAUCAUGAAUGCCAUGUGAGACUAGGUUGUAUUGCAUUAGAGAUCACGAAUAUGUUGCAUUGCAUUCUUAUUGUUGAUGGGAUGGACCAAGGCGAUCUCAGUAGCCCGCUACCUGUUAUGGCUAGAUAAGACCUUUGGGAGCUCUGUAGUUAGGGGUCGGGCUCUAGUACAUGUAGUGACCUGGGAGUCCGUAGGGACCGGGCACCGACAGAGGGAGUUCUGGGAUCAUGUCUAAUCCGAGAUGUGAGCUGUUUGUGUUGUGACACAUUCCAUGAAAGCAUAUAAUGAAUGAACUAUUUUAUGGUUUCUACUCACUGGGCUCUUGUAGCUCACCCCAUUCCCAUAAUCCCAGUUUUGCAGGGCCAGAGUUCAGCAGAGAGAGCUAUGAGAAAAGCAG
This 1034-nucleotide long non-coding RNA is filed under the name Manihot esculenta (cassava). Its description in RNAcentral is "long non-coding RNA (MESC_LNC002968)". Lineage: Eukaryota; Viridiplantae; Streptophyta; Magnoliopsida; Malpighiales; Euphorbiaceae. The record is from RNAcentral.